RNAcentral lists this long non-coding RNA (369 nucleotides) under Trifolium pratense (red clover). RNAcentral's name for it is "long non-coding RNA (TPRA_LNC010303)". The record is from RNAcentral. Lineage: Eukaryota; Viridiplantae; Streptophyta; Magnoliopsida; Fabales; Fabaceae.
AAAAAAAAAAAAAAAACUGAUUGAAUAUUUGGGAAUGUGAAAUUGAAAGAAAGAGACAAAGAGAGAUGGAACCUGAGAGAGAGGCCUGACGGAGAGAGUGAGAGACGACGGUGUGAUAGAGACGGCUGCUCAAGAGAAUGAGAGAUGGAAUGGAGGUAGGGUUUCUAUUUCUAAUGUAUAUGCGUGAAAUCUAAAAACAAAUAUAUUUUCUAUGUUUUGUAAAAAAAAAAAAUUUCUCUAAUAUUUUGUAUUUAUAUAAAUAAUAUUUUUUAUAAGAUAUAAAUAAUAAUAUUAUAUAAAAUAAUAAUUAUUAUAAACAGGCCGGCCUAUCAGGCUUCGUAGGCCUUUUUAGAAGCCUAAGCCUGGCCU